AACGAACGCUGGCGGCAUGCCUAACACAUGCAAGUCGAACGAAGGCUUCGGCCUUAGUGGCGCACGGGUGCGUAACGCGUGGGAAUCUGCCCUUAGGUUCGGAAUAACAGUUAGAAAUGACUGCUAAUACCGGAUGAUGACGUAAGUCCAAAGAUUUAUCGCCUGAGGAUGAGCCCGCGUAGGAUUAGCUAGUUGGUGUGGUAAAGGCGCACCAAGGCGACGAUCCUUAGCUGGUCUGAGAGGAUGAUCAGCCACACUGGGACUGAGACACGGCCCAGACUCCUACGGUAAGCAGCAGUGGGGAAUAUUGGACAAUGGGCGCAAGCCUGAUCCAGCAAUGCCGCGUGAGUGAAGAAGGCCUUAGGGUUGUAAAGCUCUUUUACCCGUGAUGAUAAUGACAGUAGCGGGAGAAUAAGCCCCGGCUAACUCCGUG
RNAcentral lists this ribosomal RNA (433 nucleotides) under uncultured bacterium. RNAcentral's name for it is "partial 16S ribosomal RNA". It matches the Rfam family "Bacterial small subunit ribosomal RNA", at positions 29 to 507 of the family's 1533-position model. The record is from RNAcentral.